AUACAGAGGGUGCGAGCGUUAAUCGGAAUUACUGGGCGUAAAGCGCGCGUAGGCGGCUUGGUCAGUCGGAUGUGAAAGCCCCGGGCUCAACCUGGGAAUGGCAUUCGAUACUGCCAGGCUAGAGUAUGGGAGAGGGAAGUGGAAUUUCCGGUGUAGCGGUGAAAUGCGUAGAUAUCGGAAGGAACACCAGUGGCGAGGGCGACUUCCUGGCCCAAUACUGACGCUGAGGUGCGAAAGCGUGGGGAGCGAACAGGAUUAGAUACCCUAGUAGUCC
RNAcentral lists this ribosomal RNA (274 nucleotides) under uncultured bacterium. RNAcentral's name for it is "partial 16S ribosomal RNA". It matches the Rfam family "Bacterial small subunit ribosomal RNA", at positions 523 to 796 of the family's 1533-position model. The record is from RNAcentral.